Molecule: ribosomal RNA, 567 nt
Filed under: Staphylococcus aureus
Lineage: Bacteria; Bacillati; Bacillota; Bacilli; Caryophanales; Staphylococcaceae
Description: bacterial SSU rRNA
Rfam family: Bacterial small subunit ribosomal RNA
Source: RNAcentral
GCGCUGCAUUAGCUAGUUGGUAAGGUAACGGCUUACCAAGGCAACGAUGCAUAGCCGACCUGAGAGGGUGAUCGGCCACACUGGAACUGAGACACGGUCCAGACUCCUACGGGAGGCAGCAGUAGGGAAUCUUCCGCAAUGGGCGAAAGCCUGACGGAGCAACGCCGCGUGAGUGAUGAAGGUCUUCGGAUCGUAAAACUCUGUUAUUAGGGAAGAACAUAUGUGUAAGUAACUGUGCACAUCUUGACGGUACCUAAUCAGAAAGCCACGGCUAACUACGUGCCAGCAGCCGCGGUAAUACGUAGGUGGCAAGCGUUAUCCGGAAUUAUUGGGCGUAAAGCGCGCGUAGGCGGUUUUUUAAGUCUGAUGUGAAAGCCCACGGCUCAACCGUGGAGGGUCAUUGGAAACUGGAAAACUUGAGUGCAGAAGAGGAAAGUGGAAUUCCAUGUGUAGCGGUGAAAUGCGCAGAGAUAUGGAGGAACACCAGUGGCGAAGGCGACUUUCUGGUCUGUAACUGACGCUGAUGUGCGAAAGCGUGGGGAUCAAACAGGAUUAGAUACCCUGGUA